This 4962-nucleotide small RNA is filed under the name Rattus norvegicus (Norway rat). Its description in RNAcentral is "uncharacterized LOC108351293". The record is from RNAcentral. Lineage: Eukaryota; Metazoa; Chordata; Mammalia; Rodentia; Muridae.
GUUAGGUGUUUCAACUGGUCUUCUGUAUAAGUUGAAAUCCUAAAGAGGUAGAUUCCAACAGAUGUGCUGGCAAGUAAGUGCAAACAGGCAAAGAAGAACGAACCCUUCCUUCUUCAAUUAUUCUUGUGUAGGUCUCCAGUAGAAGGUAUGGCCCAGAUUAAAGGUAUGUCUCAAGAUCUGGAUUAAAGAGAUGUUUUGUCAACAGUAGCAAAAAGUGACCGACAUACUAGGGAUGGCUAGCAACAAACAGCCGGAGUAUACCAUCAAGGGGCGCACAGACCAGCAAGCACACAGAAGACACAGUCAACAACCAUCCAAUGCUUAAUUACAUCCAGGCAUCUGUAAAGGGAAAGACGCAUAUGGUGGGGGUAUCCCACCUCCUGCUGCAUAAGUAAAAACUGAACCUUUGUUGUAUUGUAUCACUGAGAUGUCAUUGUUCCCUUGACACACAUGCCAAGACUGUGGGGCUGCAGUGUGACAGGAGGGACCAUGGAUUAGUUACUUUUCCAUCACCAUAAUCAGCAUUCCCCGAAGACACUGUUGGAGAGAGACAGCAUUUAUUUUGACUCAUGGUUUCAGAGGUUUUUCAGUCCAUCAUGGUGCUUCCUAUGAUGAUGUGACCAGUCCAUGACAACAGGAGCCUACAGGCAGAAGCUGUUGAUGAUGUAUCAGAAUGCAGAGAGCAAACCAGGAAGGAGGCAGAAAUCACAUGACCCACUCAAGGACCUGCUGCAAGUGAUCUACUUCCGGGUCAGGUAGGCACCUCCCAUCAAGUGGAAAGGUAUUCAAAACCUGAGCCGUAGGGGAGGGACAUUUCAGAUGUAAAUCCAAACACAGCAGGUUGGAGCAGAGCUAUCGAGAUAAACUUGUGGCCUGGGAGAGAAGUCUCUGUGCUGGCAGAAUAGAGGUGGAGUGGUAGACAUCUGGGAGGUAGAAGCACUCUGAGUGACUUGAGUUUCUGGCUUGUAUAGCUGGAUAUCCACCCACCACUCAUUCUUUGUUUUACUUAAUGACUCAGUGGGUGAUUGACACUCCAUCCACUACUGGCAGAUGCCCAUAAGCGAGUUGUCCCCAUUUCUUCUUCAACUUAGAAACUGAGAGAACUGAAUGGGUUCCCCGUGAACUCAAGCUCACAAUCUGCCCAGAAGUUUGUCCACUGGUAAGGGACCUCCUCUCUGGGAGAGAGGAGAGAAAAAGUAGGGAGUCAGGGAAAGAGAAAAUAACAAGAAGUCGUACACACGGACCUUGUGCCCAUCCAGCCUGAGCCACUUUAAUUUCUCACCUGGAUCAACAAAGAGGACCUCAGCUUCUGCCCUUUCUCAACUCGGCCAGAGCGAAUCUGCUAAUGCAGCAGUCAGUCAGGCACAGACUAUGUAUAAUUCAGGGUUUCUCAACCUAUGCACCUUCACCACGUGGGCCAGCAUCAUGGGUGAGGGGAAAGAAAUGCUGUCCUUGGAUGUUUAGCAGCAUCUCAAACCUGUGCCUGCUACAGCCACUGUCACACUCAAGGCCUCCUCAUCUGUGACAAGGAGAAUGGGCAGCAAACACGCCAAAUACUCUUUACUCCAGGCAGUCCUGAAAUGCCUUCUCCUCCUUGCAGAGGGACAAUUCAUGAGCACCCUCUCUUCUCUGAUUCCGCCCCUCCCCCACCUCACCCACUCAGCUUCCUUCCUGCGGGCUGACCCUCCGCCUAGCCCUCUAGCUCAUGAGCUGGGGUCUCAGUCUGAGCUGAGGGCCCUGCUGCUCUUGCUUAGGGAGGAUGCCCCGCCCUAAGAUUUCCAAAGAACUCCCUCCAUCAGUAACUUUGGCUUUUGGCUUAAACGUUACCUUCUCGGUGACGCCAACUCAAGGCGCCUCUUAGGAAAUUAAAAUCUCAGUGCGUUCAUUUGCUAGGAUGGAAUGAGUCAGCGCGGGUUGGGUGAGUUAAAGCAAGGAGUGGGUUUUUACACAGAUCUGGAAGCUAGAAGUACAAAGUCGAGGCGCCUGCAGACCUGGUUUCUCCUAAGGCUCUCAUCAGCCGAAGCCCUUGCUUGUCCUUGCUGGGUGUACAGGCAUCCCAGUUUGUCCGUCCCAAUUCCCUCUUCUGUCCAGGACACUCUUUAACCUAGUCACCCAGAGUUCCAGGGCUCUCUGAGAUCUUAGGGUGUUAAGCUUGCACUUGGGAACUUUAGGGGUGUUACCUUCGGCCCGGGACACUCCAAUGGAUCAGCAAUGAUCAAGCUGGCAUUCUGAAUAGUUUACCUUUUCAUCCAGAUUAUGGUGUCUUUCUCUUCCAGGUCUCCACCAGAAUAUCAUAUUCCAUAAAGCCAGGGAUUUUUGUCAAUCGUAUUCACUGCUACAUUCACAGUGCCUAUUAGCACAUGGCAAACACUUGUUAGAAGUGUUACAGACAGGAGCAAGAACUGCUUCUCCACAUACCAGCUGCACCCUUGGGAAAGAUCACUUCUCUAUUCCUCAGCUCCCUCUCUCAGGCUAAGACAACCCAGAGCAUGAACUCUGGUCUAUUAGCAUAGGGAUGCUAACUUCUAGGUUCUCAAGAAAACCCUGUGAGAGAAAAGUUUCCUUUCAACUGCUUCUAAGGGAGGCACAAUUCCAGAACAUCAAGGUGAGGGAGCAGGAAGUGAGGUAAAGGUAGCUGAGAAGUGAGAAGGGGUUGUGGGGAGGUAGUGUCCAGACAACUGGCCCCCACUCCCUUUCAAAGCCAGGUCACACAGAACUUCUCCAGACAGGCCUCACAGAAAGCACUGGCCUGAGAACAGCCUAAGGCAAGAGGGCUCCCUCCAGCCUUGUGCCUCCCAUUAGCUAGAAGUAGCCGCAGGAGAGUUAAUGCCCUUGCAGCAUAAAGGUCUCAGCUGGUUCUUUAAACAGCCUGGAAGGGAGCCAGACCCUUGGCCCUCUGGAGGAAGGCUUCGUCCCAGUCUGGAAGCAGUAGAGCCUGCAGAGGUUGGCCCUAGGCUGCCAUGAGCGAAGGAAGAAGGGUUGAAAAGAGCCAGUUCUUGUUGCCUGUGGACUGGAAAGACCCCAGCCAGGUUGCCACCUUGGACCAUGCUUCCCCUUCAGGGCAGACCUCUCCCUCCAGUCUCCGCCCAGUGUCUCCUGGGAAGCCGUACUAGCAGAUCGCACCACUUGAGCGUUGGGAAGGCUGUCUGCGGAACUGUGCCGGGGAGGUCAAAUGAAAAUGGAGUUUGAGUCAAGCAACAGAAAACACAGGGGAUGGAUGGACUUAGAAGCCAAGGCUGACUUUAAACUCUCCCAUGCUACUACAGGAGACUGGCUACGAACCCAGCACAAUAUCAAAAAGCAAGCAUGCACAGAUAAGACUCUCAUAAAAUGAGCUCAGGCCUAUGAAGCAGUUUCAGGAAUACAACAGCCUCUCCGACUUUGCCUUGCCACUUGACUACUGUGUGUUCUGUGGAGAAACCACUCCGUGCUGAACGGAGCAGCCUUCUACCUCCAGCAGUGACUCUUGUCCUUCUCACACACAGCCCGGAUGAAAACACAACCUGCUUCACACAGCUUGUUUGUUGCUAAGUAACCACUUCUUCCUGGUAUGAGUGUGUGACCACCCUUUCUUACUGCAACUUAAUUGCGUGACCUUAACACUGGAGAAUGGAAUUGGAAUGGGGCAGGCGUGGGGGUGGGGCUUCAUUUCUCAUCACCUACACUGUCUGUUAUUGUCCAUGACCCUGAAGAACAUUUCCUGGGAAAAGGUGAAAAAAGGGAGGGGCAGAGGAAGAACUGAGAACACGAGGGAGGUAGGAGGAAGUCUAAUCUCCACCCAGCCACCCCAGAGACCUCCUGGUGACUGCAUGAGCCAGAGAGCAGACAACAACCUUCUGUCCCCUUUCUCCUUCAAACACUGCUAACCCACGGGUCAAGCAUGAGCAUAGGCUUUGAAGCCAGGAAUAGUCACCUCAACCCUUGCCACAGUCCCAAGGGACACAGAGGCCACCAGCAAUACGGCAGCAAUCUCCUCUUUCAAGAGCAAGAGAGAGAUAAGUAAGAGUUUCCUCUUAGGAGCUCUGUCUCACAUUCACUAUGUCCCUGAAGCUGGGGUCUAUGAGGCUAUUGGUGACUGAUGUUUCCCAGAAUUCCAUAGUCAUGCAGGAACCUGUCACUUCUCUCAGGAAAUCGAAUGGUCUGCCCCUAGAUCACUAUAAGUUAUCCACUACCACCAGCUUUAUAGAGGCAUGAUCAAGAAAUAAAGGUGUGUGUGGGCUGGGGGCAUGGCUCAGCUCAGAGAGAGCUCUUGCAUCUCGUGUGUGAGGAUCUACAUGCUUGUAAUCGCAGCACCAGCAAGAUGGGAGACAGCGACAAGGAAGAUCCUGGAAGUUCCCUACUCGGUGACGUUCCAGACCAAUGAAAGACUGUGUCUCAAACAAAAGAGCUAACACCUAAGGUCAUGCCCCUGACCUCCACGCAUGUGUCAUGCAUGUGCACACUGAACGCACAUUUACCCCUCCCACACCCACACAUGCACCCUCAUCUGCAUAUUCCCACAAGACCGCAUGCAGUUAAGGUGUACAUGUUUUGCUCAGCAUUCUCUACACUCAGUCUGUUUAACACAUCUGUGACCUAGCUAUGUGUGUGUGUGAGAUAAUACCUCACACCUACUCCCUUAACACAUAACAAUGAUGUAACCCUGCAUUAGUAAUAAGUGUGGUCACUUUGCUGUACACUGGUUCUCCAGAAGCCAGUCAUCUCAGAACUGCAAGUCCUCCUGUGUUACCCUUGGAUGAACGUCUCCCCCACUUACCUUACCUCUGAUCCUUAAUAAUUAUCCUUCUGCUCUAUCCUGAGGCUCUGACGUUUUCAGAUUCCACUUCUACAAGGAGAUCGUAUGCCCCGUGCAUUACUCAGUCUUCCCAUUGCUGUGACAGAGGUAAUUUAAGGAGGGGGAGGGGCAUUCUGCUUUAAGAAGAUGUGUAGGGAGGGCUGGAGAGAUGGCUCAGUGGUUAAGAG